AGUCUCGUGAGACUUUUUGCAUGUACCUUAUGAAUAAGGACCGGCUAAUUCCGUGCCAGCAGCCGCGGUAAUACGGAAGGUCCGGGCGUUAUCCGGAUUUAUUGGGUUUAAAGGGAGCGUAGGCCGGAGAUUAAGCGUGUUGUGAAAUGUAGAUGCUCAACAUCUGAACUGCAGCGCGAACUGGUUUCCUUGAGUACGCACAAAGUGGGCGGAAUUCGUGGUGUAGCGGUGAAAUGCUUAGAUAUCACGAAGAACUCCGAUUGCGAAGGCAGCUCACUGGAGCGCAACUGACGCUGAAGCUCGAAAGUGCGGGUAUCGAACAGGAUUAGAUACCCUGGUAGUCCGCACGGUAAACGAUGGAUGCCCGCUGUUGGUCUGAAUAGGUCAGCGGCCAAGCGAAAGCAUUAAGCAUCCCACCUGGGGAGUACGCCGGCAACGGUGAAACUCAAAGGAAUUGACGGGGGCCCGCACAAGCGGAGGAACAUGUGGUUUAAUUCGAUGAUACGCGAGGAACCUUACCCGGGCUUGAAUUGCAGAGGAAGGAUUUGGAGACAAUGACGCCCUUCGGGGCCUCUGUGAAGGUGCUGCAUGGUUGUCGUCAGCUCGUGCCGUGAGGUGUCGGCUUAAGUGCCAUAACGAGCGCAACCCCUCUCCUUAGUUGCCAUCAGGUUAAGCUGGGCACUCUGGGGACACUGCCACCGUAAGGUGUGAGGAAGGUGGGGAUGACGUCAAAUCAGCACGGCCCUUACGUCCGGGGCUACACACGUGUUACAAUGGCAGGUACAGAGAGACGGUCCCUUGCAAAACGGAUCAAAUCCUUAAAGCCUGUCUCAGUUCGGACUGGGGUCUGCAACCCGACCCCACGAAGCUGGAUUCGCUAGUAAUCGCGCAUCAGCCAUGGCGCGGUGAAUACGUUCCCGGGCCUUGUACACACCGCCCGUCAAGCCAUGAAAGCCGGGGGCGCCUAAAGUCCGUGACCGUAAGGAGCGGCCUAGGGCGAAACUGGUAAUUGGGGCUAAGUCGUAACAAGGUAGCCGUACCGGAAGGUGCGGCUGGAACACCUCCUUUCU
Molecule: ribosomal RNA, 1070 nt
Filed under: Segatella copri
Lineage: Bacteria; Pseudomonadati; Bacteroidota; Bacteroidia; Bacteroidales; Prevotellaceae
Description: bacterial SSU rRNA
Rfam family: Bacterial small subunit ribosomal RNA
Source: RNAcentral